Molecule: long non-coding RNA, 395 nt
Organism: Gambusia affinis (western mosquitofish)
Lineage: Eukaryota; Metazoa; Chordata; Actinopteri; Cyprinodontiformes; Poeciliidae
Exons: 3
Source: RefSeq, a predicted model, not a curated record
AACGGGUCACCAGUCCAUCACUGUUGUGAUGGACUGGUGACCCGUCCAGGGUGAACCCCGCCUCUCAUCUGAUGACUGCUGGAGAUGGGCGCCACCAGCCCCCACUUCACCACCCUGCAAGGAUCAACGUGUUCAGAUCAUAGAUGGAAAGUUUUUAAGGCAAAGAAGACACCCAGAAAUGGUUUUUUUCACUCCAGGCAUCCGGUCUCAAUCAUCAUCAGUUCUGAUGAUGCCACAUGCAUAGCGAGUCCACAACGUCUUAAAAUCGUUUCUGUAAAGUCUAGUGGUGCAGUUAAUGGGAAAGUUCCAUUGUUGAUCCUCACUGGUCUUAGGAAGGAGAAACGUCAGUUUGUCUGGAGUAAUACUGUGACAUUGUAUUAAAACGAUACUCUGUC